Molecule: ribosomal RNA, 519 nt
Filed under: uncultured eukaryote
Lineage: Eukaryota
Description: SSU rRNA
Rfam family: Eukaryotic small subunit ribosomal RNA
Source: RNAcentral
AGGGCACCACCAGGAGUGGAGCCUGCGGCUUAAUUUGACUCAACACGGGAAAACUCACCCGGCCCGGACACUGGAAGGAUUGACAGAUUGAGAGCUCUUUCUUGAUUCAGUGGGUGGUGGUGCAUGGCCGUUCUUAGUUGGUGGAGUGAUUUGUCUGGUUAAUUCCGAUAACGAACGAGACUCUAGCCUAUUAAAUAGAUCGUUGGCUUACAAACGCCGGCGAGACUUCUUAGAGGGACAGGCGGCGAUUCAGCCGCACGAAACAGAGCAAUUAUUUUGUCUGUGAUGCCCUUAGAUGUCCGGGGCCGCACGCGCGCUACACUGAAGUGAUCAGCGUGCAUUUUGAAACCUACUCUGUCAAGAGUGGGGAACCCAAUGAACCUUCUUCGUGAUUGGGAUAGGGGAUUGUAAUUAUUCCCCUUGAACGAGGCAUUCCCAGUAAGCGCGAAUCAUAAGUUUGCGCUGAUUACGUCCCUGCCCUUUGUACACACCGCCCGUCGCUACUACCGAUUGAAUGUU